Long non-coding RNA from Pseudophryne corroboree (corroboree frog), 1554 nucleotides. RefSeq lists it as uncharacterized. The transcript has 4 exons. The record is from RefSeq and is a predicted model, not a curated record. NCBI's taxonomy places the organism in Eukaryota, Metazoa, Chordata, Amphibia, Anura, Myobatrachidae.
AGGCGCUCUCCCCGCUCUGCUGUUGCUGACAGACGCAGGCAACAUGAAGUGCGGCUCCGGCUCCCUCCCUCCGGUUUCCACCACCUCCUCAUGGGCCGUGGCUAGGGGGGCAUGUCACCUGUGCGCCUGAUAGGAGAGGGCGCCGAUCCCCCCUAACGCUCCCCUCCCUAUGCAGUAGCCGUCGGCAUCGAGAUGAAACUGAACAAAAACUACAUCUCCCAGCAGCCCUUGCUGCCGGGAGCUGUAGUUUACUUUCAGUUUCAUCUUGCAGUGAUAAGCUGAACAGGAUUGAGGGGGCAGAGGUAGGGGACAAUUUACCCCAGCCUUUCACCACCCCCCUCUCCCCCCCACUGCACUCUAAACUAAGAAGUUACCCGACGUCCGAAAAGGGGCGGGGCUAGAUGGCACUGUACUACACAGUGCCUUGCCACUACCAGUUGCCAGCAGCAUGGGAGAAUGGAGGGGAUGUGAGCAGCAGCAUGGCCAAAACAGAAGUCCUCAAAUAAGAUACGAUGAGAAUAUCCCUGCCGCCGGAUGCUGACGGUUUCCAGAAUUCCUGUAUAGCGUAACUGCAUGAGCACCCUCUCCCGAGAGAACCUCAUUGCCUCUUGAUCAUCAUUUGGCUUAAUGCAGCGGACAAAGUGAGGCUGCCCAACCACCAUUUUGGAUAAUAGGUCCAUGAAUUAUUUUCAGCCUCAGUGUAGGAUCAGUUCCUGAAAGUUAUGUUCAGCCUGGAGAAGGUAACCGCUUCAUCCAGCUUUACGCAAGACAUUGUGGCAGAAACGGAGUGCAAUUGCGCCGAGUCCCGGAUGCGGCUCCCUUAUAUGGAAUUCAAAACCUGCAAAAUCUGAUGCUGAAAACAAUAUUGUCAAAAUUGACUGGAAAUGAAUGUUAUUGAUGUUAAUAAUACUGUAGGAACUAAAACUGGCCAAAAUUCUGUGAUUUUUGCUGUUUUUAUGAUUUUUUCUAACAAAACAAAAAAAUCAAAAUCCAAAACUCACAAGCGCGGUUCUGGCUAAACCAAAACAGAUCCAAAACAUGAAGGCGAUACAGAUCCAAAACUCAAGAUUUCGGCCGGCGCACAUUUUUAUGUUUUAUACUUAACAUAAAUGUAGCCGCAAAAGGUCCUGAUUUAGAUUCGAGCAUAUAUAGUGUUCCUUGAACCUUUAGCUUGCAAUCUCAUUUGAGAAGGGCCAACUUUACCUUCUGUGUCUUGUCAUUGUAUGCACUAGAUUUGUAUCAUGAUCCCCUCACUGCAGGGCUUGAUUAAGGGGCACAUGGGGUUUGGGCUGAAAAUGUUAAAGGGACUAUACUGAGAAGAGGAGGAGCUGUGACCAGUGCUUGUAGGUGUGGCCAGAUACACCAGGGUAUGUACAUUCCCUAUACCACCAGCCCCAAUGUCUCCCUAAAUAAAAUAAAAAAAAUUACAUAAUUUUGUAACGUAAACUAGAAAUAUAAUUUUAAAAUUUAUGAUGAUGGGCUUAUUUAUAUGUGGAGGCCUGGAACUAUGGGUCUGGGACUCCAGGUCGACAACAAAAAGGUCGACACACCUUA